GGGGGGGGGGGGGGGGGGGGGGGGCGCGGGCGGGGCGGGGGGGGGGGCGGGGCGGGUGGGGGGUGGUCGAGGGGCGGACGGGUGAGUAACGCGGGAGGAACCUGCCCUUGACGUUGGGAUAACGUCAGGAAACUGGGGCUAAUACCGGAUAGGAGCUCCUGCUGCAUGGUGGGGGUUGGAAAGUUUCGGCGGUUGGGGAUGGACUCGCGGCUUAUCAGCUUGUUGGUGGGGUAGUGGCUUACCAAGGCUUUGACGGGUAGCCGGCCUGAGAGGGUGACCGGCCACAUUGGGACUGAGAUACGGCCCAGACUCCUACGGGAGGCAGCAGUGGGGAAUAUUGCACAAUGGGCGGAAGCCUGAUGCAGCAACGCCGCGUGCGGGAUGACGGCCUUCGGGUUGUAAACCGCUUUCGCCUGUGACGAAGCGUGAGUGACGGUAAUGGGUAAAGAAGCACCGGCUAACUACGUG
This 468-nucleotide ribosomal RNA is filed under the name uncultured bacterium. RNAcentral describes it as "partial 16S ribosomal RNA". It matches the Rfam family "Bacterial small subunit ribosomal RNA", at positions 38 to 507 of the family's 1533-position model. The record is from RNAcentral.